UGAACGCUGGCGGCAUGCCUUACACAUGCAAGUCGAACGGCAGCACGGGUGCUUGCACCUGGUGGCGAGUGGCGAACGGGUGAGUAAUACAUCGGAACAUGUCCUGUAGUGGGGGAUAGCCCGGCGAAAGCCGGAUUAAUACCGCAUACGAUCUACGGAUGAAAGCGGGGGACCUUCGGGCCUCGCGCUAUAGGGUUGGCCGAUGGCUGAUUAGCUAGUUGGUGGGGUAAAGGCCUACCAAGGCGACGAUCAGUAGCUGGUCUGAGAGGACGACCAGCCACACUGGGACUGAGACACGGCCCAGACUCCUACGGGAGGCAGCAGUGGGGAAUUUUGGACAAUGGGCGAAAGCCUGAUCCAGCAAUGCCGCGUGUGUGAAGAAGGCCUUCGGGUUGUAAAGCACUUUUGUCCGGAAAGAAAUCCUUGGCUCUAAUACAGUCGGGGGAUGACGGUACCGGAAGAAUAAGCACCGGCUAACUACGUGCCAGCAGCCGCGGUAAUACGUAGGGUGCGAGCGUUAAUCGGAAUUACUGGGCGUAAAGCGUGCGCAGGCGGUUUGCUAAGACCGAUGUGAAAUCCCCGGGCUCAACCUGGGAACUGCAUUGGUGACUGGCAGGCUAGAGUAUGGCAGAGGGGGGUAGAAUUCCACGUGUAGCAGUGAAAUGCGUAGAGAUGUGGAGGAAUACCGAUGGCGAAGGCAGCCCCCUGGGCCAAUACUGACGCUCAUGCACGAAAGCGUGGGGAGCAAACAGGAUUAGAUACCCCUGGUAGUCCACGCCCUAAACGAUGUCAACUAGUUGUUGGGGAUUCAUUUCCUUAGUAACGUAGCUAACGCGUGAAGUUGACCGCCUGGGGAGCACGGUCGCAAGAUUAAAACUCAAAGGAAUUGACGGGGACCCGCACAAGCGGUGGAUGAUGUGGAUUAAUUCGAUGCAACGCGAAAAACCUUACCUACCCUUGACAUGGUCGGAAUCCCGCUGAGAGGUGGGAGUGCUCGAAAGAGAACCGGCGCACAGGUGCUGCAUGGCUGUCGUCAGCUCGUGUCGUGAGAUGUUGGGUUAAGUCCCGCAACGAGCGCAACCCUUGUCCUUAGUUGCUACGCAAGAGCACUCUAAGGAGACUGCCGGUGACAAACCGGAGGAAGGUGGGGAUGACGUCAAGUCCUCAUGGCCCUUAUGGGUAGGGCUUCACACGUCAUACAAUGGUCGGAACAGAGGGUUGCCAACCCGCGAGGGGGAGCUAAUCCCAGAAAACCGAUCGUAGUCCGGAUUGCACUCUGCAACUCGAGUGCAUGAAGCUGGAAUCGCUAGUAAUCGCGGAUCAGCAUGCCGCGGUGAAUACGUUCCCGGGUCUUGUACUCACCGCC
RNAcentral lists this ribosomal RNA (1366 nucleotides) under uncultured beta proteobacterium. RNAcentral describes it as "16S ribosomal RNA". It matches the Rfam family "Bacterial small subunit ribosomal RNA", at positions 30 to 1394 of the family's 1533-position model. Lineage: Bacteria; Pseudomonadati; Pseudomonadota; Betaproteobacteria. The record is from RNAcentral.